CCUACGGGUGGCUGCAGUGGGGAAUAUUGGACAAUGGGCGAAAGCCUGAUCCAGCCAUGCCGCGUGUGUGAAGAAGGCCUUCGGGUUGUAAAGCACUUUCAGUGGGGAAGAAAGCCUUGGGGCUAAUACCCUCGAGGAAGGACAUCACCCACAGAAGAAGCACCGGCUAACUCCGUGCCAGCAGCCGCGGUAAUACGGAGGGUGCGAGCGUUAAGCGGAAUUACUGGGCGUAAAGCGCGCGUAGGCGGUCUGAUAAGCCGGUUGUGAAAGCCCCGGGCUCAACCUGGGAACGGCAUCCGGAACUGUCAGGCUAGAGUGCAGGAGAGGAAGGUAGAAUUCCCGGUGUAGCGGUGAAAUGCGUAGAGAUCGGGAGGAAUACCAGUGGCGAAGGCGGCCUUCUGGACUGACACUGACGCUGAGGUGCGAAAGCGUGGGUAGCAAACAGGAUUAGAUACCCCUGUAGUC
This 465-nucleotide ribosomal RNA is filed under the name Vreelandella stevensii. Its description in RNAcentral is "partial 16S ribosomal RNA". It matches the Rfam family "Bacterial small subunit ribosomal RNA", at positions 338 to 795 of the family's 1533-position model. The record is from RNAcentral. Lineage: Bacteria; Pseudomonadati; Pseudomonadota; Gammaproteobacteria; Oceanospirillales; Halomonadaceae.